RNAcentral lists this transfer RNA (86 nucleotides) under uncultured Sphingomonadaceae bacterium. Its description in RNAcentral is "tRNA-Tyr-GTA". It matches the Rfam family "tRNA". Rfam says of the family: Transfer RNA (tRNA) molecules are approximately 80 nucleotides in length. Their secondary structure includes four short double-helical elements and three loops (D, anti-codon, and T loops). The record is from RNAcentral. Lineage: Bacteria; Pseudomonadati; Pseudomonadota; Alphaproteobacteria; Sphingomonadales; Sphingomonadaceae. RNAcentral also lists the same sequence under 1 other name.
GGGCAGGUGGCCGAGUGGUUAAAGGCAGCAGACUGUAAAUCUGCCGGCGCAAGCCUACGAUGGUUCGAAUCCGUCCCUGCCCACCA